AGCAAAAAGGAAAAAAAAACGAAAAUAAGAGAAAAAUAAAAAUAUGACAAAGAAAAAAAGAAAGAAAGAUUUAUAAAGAACAAACAACGAAAAAGGAAUGUUACCUAAGAGAACUACACUUUUCCUCUCUGUGAAUGCAAUCCAUCGAAAAUAAUUUUCUUGUCAAAAUUAGAGCUUGCCUUCAAUCUUCUUUUGUACAGUUAACAAAGUUCCCUUGCUAAUUAGAUUUAAAAAAAAUGAGGGGGAGAGGGGGACACUUGGUUUUCUUCCAAAAUCCUCCUUUCAGUUGCAACCUCUUUUACUCGGGUGCUUAAGAGAUGGAUCUUGAUCUCCAAGGCCAUCAACUAUCUCUACCUUCAACCUAUGCAGAGAAACUCAGGUUUGGGGAUCUUUUUGCAAAGCUGAACGACCAAGUGCUUAUCUCUACUAGAUGAAAUUACCCCAACUCACACCGCAAAUAACUUUUUCCCCUUAUCUGCUGCGAACAAAUCUUGAUUGCAUUCUCCUUGGCGAAAUCCCUUAAUAAUCAAAGUGGUAGGUCAAAAAUAGGGUCAUCAACUCUUAAGUAGCAAACUUCAGCAAAUGUGGAAACCUUCAGAAGAACUGUCUUUAAUGGAUUUAGGGCAUGACUAUUUCCUCAUUAAAUUCACCCAUGAACAAAAUUUUCUUCAUGCCUUUCACGACGGUCCUUGAUUUGUCUAUAAUAAUUUUAUUUCCGUACAAAAAUGGGAGCCUAAAUUUGUAGCUUCUCAAGCUCAUAUUGCUUACAUUGCCAUUUGGGUACGUCUUCCUGAGCUCCCAACAGAGUUUUAUGCUAUGAAAAUUCUACAAAAUAUUGGUGGAAAAAUUGGUAUAAUACUGAAGAUGGAUACCUGUACAACGACUAAUUCAAACGGUAGAUAUGCUCGCCUGUCCGUCCAAGUUUCUUUGGAUAAGCCCUUACUCCAUCAUCUAUAUCUCGGAACUCACAAACAAGCGACCUUCUAUGAGGCCGCAACACUUCUCUGCACGGUGUAUCCGUUUAGGCCACUCAUCUCACUGUCCCCAUAAAAUUUUACCAUAAUCGGAUGCUUUAACUGCUGCGAAGAUUGCUCAGAAUGAAGAACCAAUAACAAAAAAUCCUCCAAGUGCUCUUGACAAAAAUUGUGUGGAUGAAGAAGGUUAGUGACUGUUAAAUUUCCUACUAAGGGUAAAUUUAAUAGGCAUUUUGCAGAUAAAGUUAAUACCAAUCAGAAGUCUCCUUCUCAACCUCAUGAAUUACCUACGGGUAAAAGAAACCAAGUAAGUACCCACAACCCUUCUUUAUCUAAUCAUUCUUCAGUCCCUAAAUUCUGUAAAAAUUCUAAUAAUAAAAUAUUAGAGAUUGAUAAAGACUGCAUCGUUUCUCCUUUGACGGCUCAAAUAAACUCGUCCAACAGUUUAGACUUAACAUAAGAUAAAGACAACUUUGCAAAUAAAUCUCUUUCAGACGAAUUUUCUCCUACCCUUAUUCCUUCAAUUUCUAUGGGUGGGACCCAUACCAACCCACCCUCUUCCAACGUGGAUAGCAUCAACAUGUAAGAGGUACCGUCCUUUUCCCCUAUUACUACGUAUCCUGAUAACAUUGUUCAUGGGAAUAUUAAUCUUGGUAAUCAUUACUCUUUAUGUGCCUCAGCUGACUUGUACAAUUCCUCUUCCUUACUAUGCACAACCUAUGUUGGACACUCCCUAUAAAUUCAAACGUCCACGUUGAGCACAUAACUCUCACUUUCUCUGUAAAUUAUGAAUCACCACCAAAAUUAUCCCCCCACAGGCCAUCACAUUCACCACAGUGUCCCUUACCUAAUCUAAACUCUCUAGCAAAUAUAGUUAGUUCAAAUAGAGCAGGAGAACAACCUAGUCCAUCAUCUUGUUUAUGCGACUACUAACCCUACUCCGCUCAACUCACCCCAGUCUUGGCUGGAGAUGGUGUUGACGGGGCAAGCACUAAUGUUCACUAUACAAGUGAAUGGACGAGACUGCCUAGUGAUGAUCCAAAAUUCUCGAGACCUAGAUCAUAUCAUCACAGUGGGGAGACACUUGGAACGGAAGUGUUUAAUAACACCACUCAACAAAAUUGGGCUCACCCAUUUUAUCCACAGUUACGUCUAGAGGAGGAACUUAUCCCUUGGAUCCAACCUCACGUAAAAGUGGUGCAGAUAUAGCCAGGGAGUCACCAUGACACGUUGCCUCCUCAAUCACCACGUCAAGCUUAGGUGGGAGCAACGGGAAUGGAUUAGCAACCACCAUAAAAGACUUAGCUUUGGGGAUAGAAGGGAUGGCAUCCGCGACUACCUUCUUAUCUCAGCAGUCCCUGCUAAGGGGGAGGAAGGAGGAAUUUCCAUUCUUUGGUAUGCGGACCACCUGAAUGUUACUAAUAUGGCUCUUACGCAUCAGGAAGUCCAUUGCAUGGUUCAGGUGCCUGAUGUACAAAUUGGGUAAUCCUCUACUGGAAGACGUAUACAGGAAAUAAAAUAAAUUGAAUCAUGCACUGGCACAGAUGAAUGCAGUUAGUACUACACAAUUAUUAUUUUGGGAACCUCCUGCAUAUUUUGAGCACUAGCGAAAAUUGAGGCUUGAGUUACCGUAGGGUCAGGAUACACACGUCUAACCAACUUAUGUUUAAUACUACUAAUUGUAGUUGUCAGAUUGUAAAAACUAGAAAUAUGUGUAUUACUGUCGGUGCUUGUACAGUGGCUAGCUCACAUAUAACUUCUUUAUAAUAUGUUAACAACAUAUAUAUAGUAUGUCCUGUUUACACCAAAAAAAUGAAAAAGGAAAAAAAAAAGAAAUAAAGAGAAAUAAGUGAAAAGAAAAAAACAGUAAAGAAAAAGAAAGUAAAAUGUGAAAAAACUAACAAGGAAAAAAAGAAAG
Capsicum annuum is the source of this 2892-nucleotide long non-coding RNA. RefSeq lists it as uncharacterized. The record is from RefSeq and is a predicted model, not a curated record. NCBI's taxonomy places the organism in Eukaryota, Viridiplantae, Streptophyta, Magnoliopsida, Solanales, Solanaceae. The transcript is spliced from 3 exons.